AAGGUAGCGCAAUCAAUUGUCUUUUAAAUGGAGACCUGUAUGAAUGGCAUAACGAGGGUUUAACUGUCUCUUUUUUCUGGUCAAUGAAACUGAUCUACCCGUGCAGAAGCGGGCAUAACUACACAAGACGAGAAGACCCUAUGGAGCUUUAGACGCCCACCAACCAUGAAAAGCACUCCGACUUAACGGACCCCCAAACAACAUGGUUAUGGCACAAACGUCUUCGGUUGGGGCGACCACGGGGGAAAGCAAAGCCCCCGAGAGGAUUGGGGGAAACCCUAAAACCAAGAGCCACAGCUCUAAGUCACAAAAUAUUUGACCAAUAAUGAUCCGGCUUACUGCCGAUCAACGGACCAAGUUACCCUAGGGAUAACAGCGCAAUCCCCUCCCAGAGUCCAUAUCGACGAGGGGGUUUACGACCUCGAUGUUGGAUCAGGACAUCCUAAUGGUGCAGCCGCUAUUAAGGGUUCGUUU
This 474-nucleotide ribosomal RNA is filed under the name Opisthonema libertate (Pacific thread herring). Its description in RNAcentral is "partial 16S ribosomal RNA". It matches the Rfam family "Bacterial large subunit ribosomal RNA", at positions 1953 to 2578 of the family's 2925-position model. The record is from RNAcentral. Lineage: Eukaryota; Metazoa; Chordata; Actinopteri; Clupeiformes; Clupeidae.